Long non-coding RNA from Cannabis sativa, 849 nucleotides. RefSeq lists it as uncharacterized. The record is from RefSeq and is a predicted model, not a curated record. The transcript has 2 exons. NCBI's taxonomy places the organism in Eukaryota, Viridiplantae, Streptophyta, Magnoliopsida, Rosales, Cannabaceae.
GAUGACUGAUAUGGAAUGGAAGAGAAAUAGUGAAACAGUGUGCUGCUUCAUCACCUGAUUAAUCAUUAUCGGUAUUGAAUAUUUUCUUUCCAAAUAAUUUGUAUUGAACUGCCAUUAGAAACAUUUACGAAGAACUAUGAUGAUUGCAAGAAGUGCUUUUGAAGCAUGGCUUGUAGUUUCUCCAUUGCAUGGAAAAUAUUCUUUGUUUAUCAAACUUCCUUUGAAGAAUCUCAAAUUUAAACUGUAUUAACCUUUUGGGCUCAUAUCAAUUCAUUAUUUUGGUUACUUGAACAUAGGCUAUCUCUAAGGGACGGCAAGGUAGGGAAGCACAAAAUGUUGUGAGGUCCAUUGAGUGAAAGUGCUACCGCCGUCGGGGCUGGUGCUGCCACUCCUGCUGAGCUUUCUGGAUGUGUGCCAAUGCUUGAGGUCUUCAAACUUGCUGUCUCAACGUUUAAAGUCAACAACUGGGGCCUUUUUGGAAGUGUAUAGAUGAGUCAUAGGGCCAUGUAUAGAUUAUACAUGAAUAGGGUGAGUUGUUUUGGAUUUAAUGAUUAUUUUUUGUUCAGAAAGAUUGUUGCCAGUCACCAAACUUAGUUUCUCGUUGUCAUCUUCCAUUUUCUUUGAAUGUUGAACUGAAUGGCUCUCUUUGGGUUUGGUGACUUUGGUCUCAGUCGUUUUUGUAGAGUCUGGAUUGUUAAAAUUACUUUCGGGUCGUCUUCCUCUCAUGCCCUCUCUGCACUGGAGAUGUUACUGUUUGUGUGCAGUUUUACACAAUAAAAAUAAACCCCUAGGGCUUUGUAAAUGAUAUCACUUCUUGUUUUUUUUUAACAAAAUUUUGUGUUUGAUAAA